UUAAGUUAUUAAGGGCGCACGGUGGAUGCCUUGGCACUAGAAGCCGAUGAAGGACGUUACUAACGACGAUAUGCUUUGGGUAGCUGUAAGUAAGCGUUGAUCCAGAGAUUUCCGAAUGGGGGAACCCAGCAUGAGUUAUGUCAUGUUAUCGACAUGUGAAUUCAUAGCAUGUCAGAAGGCAGACCCGGAGAACUGAAACAUCUUAGUACCCGGAGGAAGAGAAAGAAAAAUCGAUUCCCUGAGUAGCGGCGAGCGAAACGGGAAGAGCCCAAACCAACAAGCUUGCUUGUUGGGGUUGUAGGACACUCUAUACGGAGUUACAAAAGAACAUGUUAGACGAAUCAUCUGGAAAGAUGAAUCAAAGAAGGUAAUAAUCCUGUAGUCGAAAACAUAUUCUCUCUUGAGUGGAUCCUGAGUACGACGGAGCACGUGAAAUUCCGUCGGAAUCUGGGAGGACCAUCUCCUAAGGCUAAAUACUCUCUAGUGACCGAUAGUGAACCAGUACCGUGAGGGAAAGGUGAAAAGUACCCCGGAAGGGGAGUGAAAGAGAACUUGAAACCGUGUGCUUACAAGUAGUCAGAGCCCGUUAAUGGGUGAUGGCGUGCCUUUUGUAGAAUGAACCGGCGAGUUACGAUCUGAUGCAAGGUUAAGCAGCAAAUGUGGAGCCGCAGCGAAAGCGAGUCUGAAUAGGGCGUUGAGUAUUUGGUCGUAGACCCGAAACCAGGUGAUCUACCCUUGGUCAGGUUGAAGUUCAGGUAACACUGAAUGGAGGACCGAACCGACUUACGUUGAAAAGUGAGCGGAUGAACUGAGGGUAGCGGAGAAAUUCCAAUCGAACUUGGAGAUAGCUGGUUCUCUCCGAAAUAGCUUUAGGGCUAGCCUCAAGUGAUGAUUAUUGGAGGUAGAGCACUGUUUGGACGAGGGGCCCCUCUCGGGUUACCGAAUUCAGACAAACUCCGAAUGCCAAUUAAUUUAACUUGGGAGUCAGAACAUGGGUGAUAAGGUCCGUGUUCGAAAGGGAAACAGCCCAGACCACCAGCUAAGGUCCCAAAAUAUAUGUUAAGUGGAAAAGGAUGUGGCGUUGCCCAGACAACUAGGAUGUUGGCUUAGAAGCAGCCAUCAUUUAAAGAGUGCGUAAUAGCUCACUAGUCGAGUGACACUGCGCCGAAAAUGUACCGGGGCUAAACAUAUUACCGAAGCUGUGGAUUGUCCUUUGGACAAUGGUAGGAGAGCGUUCUAAGGGCGUCGAAGCAUGAUCGCAAGGACAUGUGGAGCGCUUAGAAGUGAGAAUGCCGGUGUGAGUAGCGAAAGACGGGUGAGAAUCCCGUCCACCGAUUGACUAAGGUUUCCAGAGGAAGGCUCGUCCGCUCUGGGUUAGUCGGGUCCUAAGCUGAGGCCGACAGGCGUAGGCGAUGGAUAACAGGUUGAUAUUCCUGUACCACCUAGUAUCGUUUUAAUCGAUGGGGGGACGCAGUAGGAUAGGCGAAGCGUGCUGUUGGAGUGCACGUCCAAGCAGUAAGGCUGAGUGUUAGGCAAAUCCGGCACUCAUAAGGCUGAGCUGUGAUGGGGAGAGGAAAUUGUUUCCUCGAGUCGCUGAUUUCACACUGCCGAGAAAAGCCUCUAGAUAGAUAACAGGUGCCCGUACCGCAAACCGACACAGGUAGUCAAGAUGAGAAUUCUAAGGUGAGCGAGCGAACUCUCGUUAAGGAACUCGGCAAAAUGACCCCGUAACUUCGGGAGAAGGGGUGCUCUUUAGGGUUCACGCCCAGAAGAGCCGCAGUGAAUAGGCCCAAGCGACUGUUUAUCAAAAACACAGGUCUCUGCUAAACCGUAAGGUGAUGUAUAGGGGCUGACGCCUGCCCGGUGCUGGAAGGUUAAGAGGAGUGGUUAGCUUCUGCGAAGCUACGAAUCGAAGCCCCAGUAAACGGCGGCCGUAACUAUAACGGUCCUAAGGUAGCGAAAUUCCUUGUCGGGUAAGUUCCGACCCGCACGAAAGGCGUAACGAUUUGGGCACUGUCUCAACGAGAGACUCGGUGAAAUCAUAGUACCUGUGAAGAUGCAGGUUACCCGC
RNAcentral lists this ribosomal RNA (2071 nucleotides) under Staphylococcus epidermidis. RNAcentral's name for it is "bacterial LSU rRNA". It matches the Rfam family "Bacterial large subunit ribosomal RNA", at positions 3 to 2073 of the family's 2925-position model. Lineage: Bacteria; Bacillati; Bacillota; Bacilli; Caryophanales; Staphylococcaceae. The record is from RNAcentral. RNAcentral also lists the same sequence under 2 other names.